GAGCAUCCUACGGGAGGCAGCAGUGGGGAAUAUUGCACAAUGGGCGCAAGCCUGAUGCAGCCAUGCCGCGUGUAUGAAGAAGGCCUUCGGGUUGUAAAGUACUUUCAGCAGUGAGGAAGGUGGGUAUGUUAAUAGCAUAUUCAUUUGACGUUAGCUGCAGAAGAAGCACCGGCUAACUCCGUGCCAGCAGCCGCGGUAAUACGGAGGGUGCGAGCGUUAAUCGGAAUUACUGGGCGUAAAGCGCAUGCAGGUGGUUUGUUAAGUCAGAUGUGAAAGCCCGGGGCUCAACCUCGGAAUUGCAUUUGAAACUGGCAAACUAGAGUACUGUAGAGGGGGUAGAAUUUCAGGUGUAGCGGUGAAAUGCGUAGAGAUCUGAAGGAAUACCGGUGGCGAAGGCGGCCCCCCUGGACAGAUACUGACACUCAGAUGNCGAAAGCGUGGGGAGCAAACAGGAUUAGAUACCCUGGUAG
RNAcentral lists this ribosomal RNA (470 nucleotides) under uncultured bacterium. RNAcentral describes it as "bacterial SSU rRNA". It matches the Rfam family "Bacterial small subunit ribosomal RNA", at positions 332 to 793 of the family's 1533-position model. The record is from RNAcentral.